UCGCUCCCGGCCCCCGAGGCCCACAUGUCUCCUCUCCGCGCCCCCCCCGCCGGCCGGCCUGGGGCAGCGGUUCCGCUUGGCAGCCUCGCAACAUGCAGAGCCCAACGCCCGCUGGACGGACGGACGGAGCCCCGGAUGGACGGACGGAUCAGCGGACGCAGGCACAGGAAGAGAGAUGAGGAAAGAUAAGCUCAGUUUUCCGGCCAGAUGAAGAACCCUGCGCGGGAGUCUCCCCACCCUCCCCGACAAGCUCUGCCCCUGCUCCGAGUGGGCAGAGGGGAGGGGUGUACCCGCUUGCCCCCCCACACACACCCAUGCAAGCACACACACGUGCACAUGUGCAC
Long non-coding RNA from Microcebus murinus (gray mouse lemur), 344 nucleotides. RefSeq lists it as uncharacterized. The record is from RefSeq and is a predicted model, not a curated record. Lineage: Eukaryota; Metazoa; Chordata; Mammalia; Primates; Cheirogaleidae.